UGAGGAAUAUUGGUCAAUGGGCGAGAGCCUGAACCAGCCAAGUCGCGUGAGGGAAGACGGUCCUAUGGAUUGUAAACCUCUUUUGUCAGGGAGCAAAAGAUAUCACGUGUGAUAUAUCGAGAGUACCUGAAGAAAAAGCAUCGGCUAACUCCGUG
Molecule: ribosomal RNA, 155 nt
Filed under: uncultured bacterium
Lineage: Bacteria
Description: partial 16S ribosomal RNA
Rfam family: Bacterial small subunit ribosomal RNA
Source: RNAcentral